GCGGGACUGAAAGGACCCCAGCGACACCAGCGCAGAAAAUCGAAACUGGAAACUGAGGUUUUGCUUGUUUGCUUGUGGGAUAGCGGGUUUGAAUGCGACAUAAGUAUAGGGUUUCAGAAGUUAACUUCACAUUGGGAAUCGACUGUUCGAGACUGGGAGCUAAGGCUAUGUGAGAGAAGCGGCUGGUAAGUAACGUGUUGAUUUUGGAAACAGGACCCAGUGGGCACCCGAUCGGAAGGAGAGUGGAUCGCCUUACGAUCGGUCAGGCCCGCUUAGUACUGAACCGAGCCGAAGAGAAGCAAGAGGACGUGGAAAUCAGCACUCGUCUGCUUACGAGCCGGGUCAGCGAGGCGGGAAUGAGACAGCUGGUCUAGUGGGACUACAGCUCCGUAACACGAGUUGCAGCGAUGAAGCGGAGAACAGACUCCGCGGAACCACACAAGAAGAAGAGGAAACGCUGUGAGGAACCCAGCUCAGAUGAGGAACAUCUAAGUGACAGGGCGAC
This 505-nucleotide long non-coding RNA is filed under the name Lepisosteus oculatus (spotted gar). Its description in RNAcentral is "lncRNA (ENSLOCG00000021735.1)". Lineage: Eukaryota; Metazoa; Chordata; Actinopteri; Semionotiformes; Lepisosteidae. The record is from RNAcentral.